Molecule: ribosomal RNA, 253 nt
Filed under: uncultured bacterium
Lineage: Bacteria
Description: partial 16S ribosomal RNA
Rfam family: Bacterial small subunit ribosomal RNA
Source: RNAcentral
UACGUAGGGUGCAAGCGUUAAUCGGAAUUACUGGGCGUAAAGCGUGCGCAGGCGGUUUUGUAAGACAGAUGUGAAAUCCCCGGGCUCAACCUGGGACCUGCAUUUGUGACUGCAAGACUGGAGUGCGGCAGAGGGGGAUGGAAUUCCGCGUGUAGCAGUGAAAUGCGUAGAUAUGCGGAGGAACACCGAUGGCGAAGGCAAUCCCCUGGGCCUGCACUGACGCUCAUGCACGAAAGCGUGGGGAGCAAACAGG